Non-coding RNA from Peromyscus maniculatus bairdii (prairie deer mouse), 2011 nucleotides. The record is from RefSeq and is a predicted model, not a curated record. NCBI's taxonomy places the organism in Eukaryota, Metazoa, Chordata, Mammalia, Rodentia, Cricetidae.
UAAUGAACUUUUUAAGCUUCGUAGGCUGUGAAUUUCACUCUCUUCCCAUUGCUAGUUUAAUGUCAAGUUGACACGUGCUAUAGCCAAUGAUCUGAGGGUAGGAAACCACAACUGAGAAAUUUCCUUCAUAUGGUUGAGCUGUAGGGAAGCCUGUAGGGCAUUCUCUUAAUUAGUGAUGUCAGAGGGCCCAGCCCAUUGUGGGCUAGCUGUUCCUGAGGGUUCUACUGGCCACGACUGGUGGAGGGAGGAGGGAGAGGGGGAUGCUUGACAGGAGUCAACUCAGCUGAAGGUGAGGCUUGAAGGAAGAGUAGCUUGAAUAGAAAUAGAAGCUAGGAGGCAAAACAAUUCUAGAACUGGAAAGCUCAAGAAAUGUUCAGGAAGGUUGUAUGAAACCUUAGCCUGUCUGAAGUGAGAGGUUCCUGCAAGGGCAAGAUGAGAAAAGAAGUCUGAGCAGCUAGGCAGGGCUGGCUUUUCCACCUCAAGGUCACUGCGUCUCCUUGCUGGACAAGAGUAGGACUCAUCUGUACCUCUCUGAGGGUGCCAUCUCAUCCCUCCCUACUUCCUCCAAGAUCCAUUGUCUCUGGCAUUCAGUGUUGAGAGUCGUUAAUAGUACUGUGCUGGGUACUUGAUGGGUAUAACUCUUGUUCUGUUUACAGCCAAAUCUGUGACAUGACAUGGACAAUGCUUUUAUUCUCACUUUGAGGAUGGAGUAAGAGGUGCCAGGUAGUUGGCUGCUCAAAUGGAGGUCCCGCUACUGAGAUUCAAAGACAGCCGAGUGAAGCUCCUUCAGUAUACAAUAACUUACUCCUGUGUUGAGAGGCAUUUUCUUCUUGUUUUUUUUUAUUCUUUUCUUCAUAAAUUAUACAUUUCCCUCUCCUAAGAAAUAACUUCUAUUAACUUUCUGUGUCUUCAAUCCCUGCUCCUGCCCCGUGCUCCCUUUUCAGACACAUUCCUUGAGGAAUGCGCUUGAGUCCCCUCACCCACCAUCACUUCCUCUGUGCUCAGAAGUGGAGGAUGAGCACUCUCUCUCUCUCUCUCUCUCUCUCUCUCUCUCUCUCUCUCUCUCUCUCUCUCUCUCUCUCUUGAUUUGCUUGUGCAGGUGUCUGACAUCAUUUGACUCUCUUGACCAUUUCUCUUCUUUCCUUCUCACUUCUUGGCUUCAUUUUAAAUUCAAAACUUAGAAUUUCUUCUCUGUUCUUUCUACCUUUCCCUAGAGCCUCUCUUUGAGUUUCCAUAACAGAGGGGAAUUGAGAGCUACCAUGUAUGUAUAUACAUUUGUCUUUAUUAGUUUAUAUUAAUUAUACACAAUGGGAUUUUCAUAUACUUAUACACUGUAUUUUGAGUGUAUCCACACAUAUACCUCCUUAUCCCCAUUUAUCUUCAUUCCACUCUGGCUAAUCCUUUUCCUCUUCCCAAGCAGUCCCCCUAAGGCUUUUGGAUUUUUUUUUUUUUUGAUGACCCAAUGAGUUACAUUAGAGUUGCUUAUAUGAGUGAGGGCUUGUUUAUAGGAACACAGGCACCUUACCAGUGGCUAUACCACUGGAAGAGAAUGCCCCUCCCUCCUCCACCAACCAUAACUGCCUAUAUAUCCUUAGGAAGGGGUGAGGACUUGUGAACUCCUUUCCCCAUUCAUGAUAGGCUGCCCACAGGUUCAAUAUCUUGUAGCUCUUUCAGGUAACCUCAGCUUUUGUGAGUUCAGAAGCACAGUGGCUAUGUCAUGACUGGAAGCCGGCAUUCUCCACCACUCUACCACUUGUCCUGGCUCCUACAGUAUUGUAUGACACUCCCCCUGGGGAGACAUGAGCAAACAUCUCUUCACCCCAGAUGGGAAGUGAUGAUGGACCAAAGCUCCUGAAUGCUGGCAUUACAAGCGCAUGCCACCGCUCACAACUAAAAAGAGUAGAUUUCUUCGUAAAUUGAAUUGUGGGAUUAUGAGAUCUGCAGAUGUAGAAGUCUGAUUGGAGUUUUAAUUCACAUUUCUCCAGUAAUUAAAGAUGUUAAAUACUUUUCA